This 500-nucleotide ribosomal RNA is filed under the name uncultured bacterium. RNAcentral describes it as "partial 16S ribosomal RNA". It matches the Rfam family "Bacterial small subunit ribosomal RNA", at positions 30 to 523 of the family's 1533-position model. The record is from RNAcentral.
AUUGAACGCCGGCGGCAUGCCUUACACAUGCAAGUCGAACGGUAACGGGUCCUUCGGGAUGCCGACGAGUGGCGAACGGGUGAGUAAUAUAUCGGAACGUACCCAGUAGUGGGGGAUAACUGCUCGAAAGAGCAGCUAAUACCGCAUACGACCUGAGGGAGAAAGGGGGGGAUCGCAAGACCUCUCGCUCUUGGAGCGGCCGAUAUCAGAUUAGCUAGUUGGUGGGGUAAAGGCCUAGCAAGGCAACGAUCUGUAGUUGGUCUGAGAGGACGACCAGCCACACUGGGACUGAGACACGGCCCAGACUCCUACGGGAGGCAGCAGUGGGGAAUUUUGGACAAUGGGCGCAAGCCUGAUCCAGCAAUGCCGCGUGCAGGAAGAAGGCCUUCGGGUUGUAAACUGCUUUUGUCAGGGAAGAAAUCUUCUGGGCUAAUACCCCGGGAGGAUGACGGUACCUGAAGAAUAAGCACCGGCUAACUACGUGCCAGCCGCCGCAGUAA